ACGAACGCUGGCGGCGUGCUUAACACCUGCAAGUCGAACGGAAAGGCCCUGCUUUUGUGGGGUGCUCGAGUGGCGAACGGGUGAGUAACACGUGAGUAACCUGCCCUUGACUUUGGGAUAACUUCAGGAAACUGGGGCUAAUACCGGAUAGGAGCUCCUGCUGCAUGGUGGGGGUUGGAAAGUUUCGGCGGUUGGGGAUGGACUCGCGGCUUAUCAGCUUGUUGGUGGGGUAGUGGCUUACCAAGGCUUUGACGGGUAGCCGGCCUGAGAGGGUGACCGGCCACAUUGGGACUGAGAUACGGCACAGACUCCUACGGGAGACAGCAGUGGGGAAUAUUGCACAAUGGGCGGAAGCCUGAUGCAGCAACGCCGCGUGCGAGAUGACGGCCUUCGGGUUGUAAACCGCUUUCGCCUGUGACGAAGCGUGAGUGACGGUAAUGGGUAAAGAAGCACCGGCUAACUACGUG
RNAcentral lists this ribosomal RNA (467 nucleotides) under uncultured bacterium. Its description in RNAcentral is "partial 16S ribosomal RNA". It matches the Rfam family "Bacterial small subunit ribosomal RNA", at positions 29 to 507 of the family's 1533-position model. The record is from RNAcentral.